Molecule: non-coding RNA, 26 nt
Filed under: Homo sapiens (human)
Lineage: Eukaryota; Metazoa; Chordata; Mammalia; Primates; Hominidae
Source: RNAcentral
UAGGUGGUAGCUAAGGUCAUGGGCUU